RNAcentral lists this ribosomal RNA (300 nucleotides) under uncultured Natronobacterium sp. RNAcentral's name for it is "bacterial SSU rRNA". It matches the Rfam family "Bacterial small subunit ribosomal RNA", at positions 497 to 795 of the family's 1533-position model. The record is from RNAcentral. Lineage: Archaea; Methanobacteriati; Methanobacteriota; Halobacteria; Halobacteriales; Natrialbaceae.
UGUAAGUCGUGGGUCGAACGUCACGUAGUACGACGGGGGCGAUCGUUGAGCGGUAUUACUGGGAGGAAAGCGCAUGUUGUCGGAGGCUUAAGUCGUUGUUGAAAGGCUGCGGUUCAAUCGUCGAUCUGCCGUGGAGACUGGGGGGCUUGAGUGCGGGAGAGGUGAGUGGAAAUGUGAGUGUAGUGGUGAAAUUCGUAGAUAUUUGCAAGAACACCAGUGGCGAAGGCGACUUACUGGCCCGGUACUGACGCUGAGGUGCGAAAGCGUGGGGAGCAAACAGGAUUAGAUACCCGCGUAGUC